UUGAAAGGGAAACGAUUGAAGUCAGUCGUACCUGCGGGUAAUCAGCCUUUUGGGCAUGAUUCUGUGGAGCGUGAGGAGUUAAACGCCUUCAUGCCUGCAUAUUCGUGUACUUUGGGUGUACUUGCCUGUGUGGUUAGUUAACAUCAAUUUUGGUUAUCAUAAAAUGGCUGGAGGAAUGUAGCUUCGAUUUCGAUUGAAGGGUUAUAGGCCUUGGGCAGAGGGGAGGAUCGGGAUGAGGGAUGGCAACGGAUACCCUUGGGGGCUACCGGUCGGGUCUCGGAUGGUGGCUCGGGGGCGGAAAGGCGGGCUUACGGUUAUCAAAGUGGAGGGUCAAUAGGUUAGAACGGGUUAAAUUCGUUAAGGAGGUGGACGUA
RNAcentral lists this ribosomal RNA (374 nucleotides) under uncultured fungus. Its description in RNAcentral is "LSU rRNA". The record is from RNAcentral. Lineage: Eukaryota; Fungi.